RNAcentral lists this ribosomal RNA (253 nucleotides) under uncultured bacterium. Its description in RNAcentral is "partial 16S ribosomal RNA". It matches the Rfam family "Bacterial small subunit ribosomal RNA", at positions 524 to 776 of the family's 1533-position model. The record is from RNAcentral.
UACAGAGGUCCCAAGCGUUGUUCGGAUUUACUGGGCGUAAAGGGUGCGUAGGCGGUCGGAUAAGUCUGAUGUGAAAUCUUCGAGCUCAACUCGGAAACUGCAUCGGAAACUAUCUGGCUUGAGGAUUGGAGGGGAGACUGGAAUUCUCGGUGUAGCAGUGAAAUGCGUAGAUAUCGAGAGGAACACCAGUGGCGAAGGCGAGUCUCUGGACAAUUCCUGACGCUGAGGCACGAAAGCUAGGGGAGCAAACAGG